RNAcentral lists this ribosomal RNA (253 nucleotides) under uncultured bacterium. RNAcentral describes it as "partial 16S ribosomal RNA". It matches the Rfam family "Bacterial small subunit ribosomal RNA", at positions 524 to 776 of the family's 1533-position model. The record is from RNAcentral.
UACGAAGGGGACUAGCGUUGUUCGGAAUCACUGGGCGUAAAGCGCACGUAGGCGGAUAUGUCAGUCAGGGGUGAAAUCCCGGGGCUCAACCUCGGAACUGCCUUUGAUACAGCAUAUCUUGAGUCCGAUAGAGGUGGGUGGAAUUCCUAGUGUAGAGGUGAAAUUCGUAGAUAUUAGGAAGAACACCGGUGGCGAAGGCGGCUCUCUGGGACGGUACUGACGCUGAGACGCGAAAGCGUGGGGAGCGAACAGG